RNAcentral lists this ribosomal RNA (873 nucleotides) under Bacillus pumilus. RNAcentral describes it as "bacterial SSU rRNA". It matches the Rfam family "Bacterial small subunit ribosomal RNA", at positions 47 to 900 of the family's 1533-position model. Lineage: Bacteria; Bacillati; Bacillota; Bacilli; Caryophanales; Bacillaceae. The record is from RNAcentral.
CCUCCUAUAAUGCAAGUCGAGCGGACAGAAGGGAGCUUGCUCCCGGAUGUUAGCGGCGGACGGGUGAGUAACACGUGGGUAACCUGCCUGUAAGACUGGGAUAACUCCGGGAAACCGGAGCUAAUACCGGAUAGUUCCUUGAACCGCAUGGUUCAAGGAUGAAAGACGGUUUCGGCUGUCACUUACAGAUGGACCCGCGGCGCAUUAGCUAGUUGGUGGGGUAAUGGCUCACCAAGGCGACGAUGCGUAGCCGACCUGAGAGGGUGAUCGGCCACACUGGGACUGAGACACGGCCCAGACUCCUACGGGAGGCAGCAGUAGGGAAUCUUCCGCAAUGGACGAAAGUCUGACGGAGCAACGCCGCGUGAGUGAUGAAGGUUUUCGGAUCGUAAAGCUCUGUUGUUAGGGAAGAACAAGUGCGAGAGUAACUGCUCGCACCUUGACGGUACCUAACCAGAAAGCCACGGCUAACUACGUGCCAGCAGCCGCGGUAAUACGUAGGUGGCAAGCGUUGUCCGGAAUUAUUGGGCGUAAAGGGCUCGCAGGCGGUUUCUUAAGUCUGAUGUGAAAGCCCCCGGCUCAACCGGGGAGGGUCAUUGGAAACUGGGAAACUUGAGUGCAGAAGAGGAGAGUGGAAUUCCACGUGUAGCGGUGAAAUGCGUAGAGAUGUGGAGGAACACCAGUGGCGAAGGCGACUCUCUGGUCUGUAACUGACGCUGAGGAGCGAAAGCGUGGGGAGCGAACAGGAUUAGAUACCCUGGUAGUCCACGCCGUAAACGAUGAGUGCUAAGUGUUAAGGGGGUUUCCGCCCCUUAGUGCUGCAGCUAACGCAUUAAGCACUCCGCCUGGGGAGUACGGUCGCAAGACUGAAAC